Nerophis ophidion (straightnose pipefish) is the source of this 2434-nucleotide long non-coding RNA. RefSeq lists it as uncharacterized. Lineage: Eukaryota; Metazoa; Chordata; Actinopteri; Syngnathiformes; Syngnathidae. The transcript has 3 exons. The record is from RefSeq and is a predicted model, not a curated record.
AUGUAUUCUAUAGCCAAAUAAUUACAGUAAAGCACAUUUAUUUGCUCACACAUUCCACAAAAAUAACUUUUAACCGCCCCUCGUUUGCUAUUUGGUAUAGUCCCCAGCACUUUUAGAGUAGGUACAUAUGGAGUGCCAAUGCAAAAUAGAUCCACGCCAUGCAUUCGUGAAGGUAUUUCCUUUUUCCUGAAAAAUGGCGAAUUGCCCUCCCCUCGUUCGUGUCCCUGCAUCACGCGUGACCCACGAAGGGAUGCAAUCGCAAUAAUAAGCAACUCCCUUCCUUAAAUGCAACCUGACUUUUCCACAUUUUUUCGCCUCCCCGGCAAAUCAAUCCAAAAAGCCAGAAAAGUCGAUCCCCAUACGGUCCAUAUGUCAAAGAUCGUCUCCGCGGGCGCGAUCACUUACUUGUCUGCCUCCUGUGACAUAUUUCGCCUCCUCUACGCUUCUGCCUGGUGGAACUGGACUUUCAAGUCGGAGCAGGUGAUAAGAGGGAGCGAGUUGCCAGAAGUUGGUGUACAGGCUUGGAUUGGAAACAUUCUUUCACAGAAGGUGAGGUCACCGCUGAUUGGCUCGCCACUGCGCACACCUGCCUCCUGAUUGGCUGGUGGCCCAGGCAAGGAGGAGAGAAACCGCUUGUUGAGACUUGGCCUCGGUUUUGGACUCAGCCUGUUUGGAACCUCCAGGAACUCCAGACGAGUGCAGACAUGGUAGGAUGGGUCGACUUGUCCUUCAAAAGGACAGAGUUUUGUGAUACUGAACAAUGUAUAGGUUUUGUUUUCUUCAACUACUUUGGCACGUGUUGCAUCCAUGAAAUUCAAAGUUAAUUAUUAUUUGCAAAAAAAAAUAAAGUUUAUGAGUUUGAACAUCAAAUAUGUUGUCUUUGUAGUGCAUUCAAUCAAAUAUGGGUUGAAAAGGAUUUUCAAAUCAUUAUAUUCUGUUUAUAUUUACAUCUGACACAAUUUCCCAACUCAUAUAGAAACGGGGUUCGUAGUUUGUCCUGAAGAAUUUGGAGGUAAUCCUCCUUUUCCAUUAUCCCAUUUACUCUCUGUGAAGCACCAGUUCCAUUAGCAGCAAAACAGGCACAGAGCAUAAUACUACCACCACAAUGCUUGACGGUAGGCCUGGUGUUUCUGGGAUUAAAUGCCUCACCUUUUCUCCUCCAAACAUACUGUUGGGUAUUGUGACCAACAGCUCAAUUGUUGUUUCACCUGACAUCACAUGGACAAAGAUAAGAUCUUCUGGAGGAAAGUUCUGUGGUCAGAUGAAACAAAAAUUUCGAUUCAAACAUGGUUGAAAACUCACAUGUUUAUUUUUGCCAACAUUAAAGUCAGUUUAGGGUCUUCACCAAACCUAAUAUACUUUAUGUACAUAAGGGACACCACUUCAUAUGUCACGAUCUGGAUUGGGUGUUGUUAGUCUCGACCCCAGAAUGCAAAGACAACUAGCAAAGUCCAGGUAAAAUGUAUUAAUUAGCAGAAAUAAAUAGUGUAGCACGGAACCAAACAAAGUAAAUGAUCCAGCCCAGUCCAGAGUGAAAAGCAUUGUGAUUUACAAUCAGGGACAGGUACGGGAGAGCUAGCGCUCAGACAAGGGAAGUGGUAGAGGCAAACAGGAAUUGUAAAACAAAAAUAAGAGCGCUUGAGAGGAAAUAAAUUCAGAAACUGAGGAAACUAAUAAUGAAGUUCAAACUGUCAUGUGAGAUCAUGACAAUAUCACAUCAACUAUCAUAGAAAGUUAUCUCCAGUGCACCUAUGAUGUAAAGGAUAUUAGCCAGUUCCACUGAAAGUCGGGGGAUGUGUUUAAUGCUUUGGAUCACAUGGUGUUCUUUUAAUAUCAAUUUGCCUCAAUGUUUACAAAAACAUGUUAGAUUGCUGCAAAUUUUACCAUGGUAGAAACGUGAGGUGGUAUGCUUUAGAUCCUGAAUCUUUUGCCAUCAUUCCUUUUCACAUUUGAAAGAUACAGAGCCAAUUCCCUGUGCCUGGGAAUUGAUACCGGUAUGCAACAUUAUCGAUUGUCUGUACAUGUGUGUGUUUUAAUAUGUUAAUAAAUAUUUAAUAAAAAGUAUAUUCAAUUAAACAUUUAACAAUGAGCUGAUUAUGACAAGUUGUCCAGUAGUUAUAUCCUGUUUUCUAACACUUCUAAGUCUCAUGUGCGUGUAUUAUGUAGUAGACUUUGCAUUCAGUUUCAAAUCCCAGAUUUUCGAUGGCAGUAGUUUAUACUAUGUUGUGUUGUCUUGUCAAGAAGGAAUCUUUGCCAUGAACCUGAAUGUGCCAGUCCAGUCUUUUGGUGUGCUCUAAAAAGUAUUUAUACUGUAAGUAUUGUAUUUAUACCACACUAGCAGUUUGAUUGUAACGGGCAUCUUAAAUGUUGUUUUCAUUCCUAAAGCAGAAUCCGCAUUUGUGUCAAUAAAGUGAAAUUAUGUCUCAAAAAACCC